CACGCCGCGUGAGUGAUGAAGGCUUUCGGGUCGUAAAACUCUGUUGUUAGGGAAGAACAAGUACGAGAGUAACUGCUCGUACCUUGACGGUACCUAACCAGAAAGCCACGGCUAACUACGUGCCAGCAGCCGCGGUAAUACUUUGGGUGCCCGCCCCCGG
Molecule: ribosomal RNA, 160 nt
Filed under: uncultured bacterium
Lineage: Bacteria
Description: partial 16S ribosomal RNA
Rfam family: Bacterial small subunit ribosomal RNA
Source: RNAcentral